RNAcentral lists this long non-coding RNA (411 nucleotides) under Strongylocentrotus purpuratus (purple sea urchin). Its description in RNAcentral is "uncharacterized LOC115924489". The record is from RNAcentral. Lineage: Eukaryota; Metazoa; Echinodermata; Echinoidea; Camarodonta; Strongylocentrotidae.
GAUCUAUUUUUAUUUUGUUAAGGAGAAAGGGACGCCUUGAUUGUCGUAUUGAUUUUGUUUUCUUUUUGUUCCAACAGAUGGAAACUGAUGAAGAGCUGGAAGGAGCUAACUGAUGAGUAGACAUUACAACAUUUCUUAUAUUUUCAAGAUGAAGCUGAAAGUCCCAUGCAGGAUGAUGCUUCUCUACAGUGGAUGAUGAAAGCAUGCUGAUUACAAACCCAGGAGAGGAAUAAAGAACAUAUAUUGACAGAAUCAUAUCUAGAGAUGUGGGCCUACUGCACUUCAUACAAGCAAGUGUGCUAAUAUACCAUACUUGGGUUAUCAUCACAGCCCUUUCUUCUGAAAACUAGCCUACAACUUCAUCGAUGAAUGCAGAAGACAUCUACAUGGGACUACGUCUUAAAGAUGCCC